This 289-nucleotide ribosomal RNA is filed under the name Helicobacter pylori. RNAcentral's name for it is "partial 23S ribosomal RNA". It matches the Rfam family "Bacterial large subunit ribosomal RNA", at positions 1898 to 2186 of the family's 2925-position model. The record is from RNAcentral. Lineage: Bacteria; Pseudomonadati; Campylobacterota; Epsilonproteobacteria; Campylobacterales; Helicobacteraceae.
GAUGAAGCGUUGAAUUGAAGCCCGAGUAAACGGCGGCCGUAACUAUAACGGUCCUAAGGUAGCGAAAUUCCUUGUCGGUUAAAUACCGACCUGCAUGAAUGGCGUAACGAGAUGGGAGCUGUCUCAACCAGAGAUUCAGUGAAAUUGUAGUGGAGGUGAAAAUUCCUCCUACCCGCGGCAAGACGGAGAGACCCCGUGGACCUUUACUACAACUUAGCACUGCUAACGGGAAUAUCAUGCGCAGGAUAGGUGGGAGGCUUUGAAGUAAGGGCUUUGGCUCUUAUGGAGA